This 6178-nucleotide long non-coding RNA is filed under the name Zea mays. RNAcentral's name for it is "long non-coding RNA (ZMAY_LNC003264)". The record is from RNAcentral. Lineage: Eukaryota; Viridiplantae; Streptophyta; Magnoliopsida; Poales; Poaceae.
CAAACUUUGUGGACCCCCAACUUAUUUUCUUUGUUGGUUUAUGUUGAACUUUAUGCACCUGAGAUAAAUGACAACUAGGCAAACUAGUUAGUCCACGUGGUUUGUGAUGGACGACAAACACCAAAAAACGAUUAUAGGAAAUGAUUAAGCCCAUUUCCCUUUCAGAAGGAAAGGCAUAUUGUGCUUUGGUUAUUGAAUAGAGAAAACAUACAUUUAGUAAAAGGAAGGGAAGGUGAGCUAAAGGUAUUGGAUCACAUAGCUGUUGAAUUUCUUUGGUGAUGGCGAUGGUCCACUCCUGGUCGUCCUUAGGCCCCUAGAGUAUUGCAACCGGCAUCUUGCACUACUCCAUGGUCAUUCUAGGAACCUAGGUUGUAUCAUGGAGGGACAUCCGAACCUUGGUGACGAAAAUGCACAAGGCUCCUAUCUGGUGUGCCAACUGUCGGCAUUGGCGAGUAAAUAUGUGUAUGCGUGCUUUGGGUUCGGAUGGUGUGUUGGUGGGACGUAAGAGUUUAUACUAGUUCGAGCAUAAUGUACAUACUCCAAUCUUCAGUUUCUUGCGCUACUGGCACCUGAUUUUUUGUAGUAGGGGUUACAAACGAGUCAAGAGAUGGAGAAGCUCCCAAGUCUCUAGAGUGUGUUUUGCAUUUCUGUGGAGUGCGUUUCGAUCAGGUCGGAGUGAGUUUGAGAGAGUGCGAGAGUGCAUGGAUUUCAUGGGGGUGUGGUGUUCCAUACGAGCGCACAUCUUAGGCUUUAGUUGGGGCCCACGUCAGAGUUCGUAGCAUAGUAUGAUUGUAAUCGUGCUUCCGGAAUGUGUCAACUUACCGAUGUGAACAUUCAUACGCCCCAUAUCCUCCAGUUUGCCAUGUCGUGCAAUCUAUCUGUAAUAACACUUCCCAUACAUGUAUGAGAGGAGUGGGUUCUUCAUAGUUGAUUUGGAUGUAAUGGACAUGAAGGUUUGACAGAACAAGGAUGACCUCCAUUCCCCUCGUGGCAGCUAUUGUGAUUAUAGAGGUUUGGUAUGGCGUGGUUAGCCUCGUUCGUUUGACCCUUGACUCAUGCAUAUGGUUCAGCCGACAUCUUGGGCUAGGCACGAUACUCGUGACCAUUGAGUCGGCAUAGGGCUCGGCUGACCCUCUUCCGUAUCAUCUGACCCUUAGGCGUCCCUACUUUGUGCUGGGACUAGAGCGAACGUGUAACACUCCAAAAUCAUAUUCUAGAUAAAUUAGGAAAAGUCAUUUCGUGAUUCAAAUAAAUGUGUUUUCAAAUAAAGAUUAUCUAAAAGAUUCUUAUGUGAACUAUCAUUUGUGUUAAAGAUCUAUUCUAAAAAAUAAUUAAGUUAAACUAUCUGUUAAUAUAUAUUUUACAUAAGAAAAUUAUAUCCUUUUAAACAAAUAUGUGAAGAUUAUAUAUUUAUUUUAUUGUACUUCUGAAAUGUAGCUAUGUAUUUGAAUUAUUUUCUUUAAUAAUUAUUAUUGUAAAACAUCUUACAUGAAUUAUUCCUACGGAGUUUCAUUUGCUUAAAUGGAUAAAUAAAUUAAUAAAAUGCUUUGCAUUCAUGUCGAGUUUUUGUUUGUUGUAAUUUAUGCCUGAAAUAGAAAUUUUAACUUAGCUCUAAUUAGACUUGAAUUUUAAAUUUAAAAUAGAAAGCAGAAAUUAGAAAUAUAAGCUAAUAUAAUGUAUCGAUGUAUGUUUGGUUGGUCUGUUUGUACACGAUGUGCUUUAGGUAAAUUUUAUACAAAUUAGGAUAUCACAAUAAGAUAUUUAAGAAAAUACUGCUUUCAGCUCGCGUGUAACACCAAAAAUUUAAUUUAAAAUUUUAAAUAAAAAUAUAUUCUAAGAUUUAUUUAAAUUGGAGGUCUAAUAUGAUUAGUACAAACUAAUAAUAAUAUUAUUGGAAUAAAAUGACAUGUUAGAGUUCCUAACAGAUAGGGUAGGAUUCUAACAGAUAAGUACCAGAUUAGGGGCCUGUUUGUUUACCCCAAUGGAUUAUAUAAUCUGGAUUAUUUUUGGAGGAUUAUAUAAUCUGGAUUAUAUAAUUUGGAUUAUAUAAUCUGAGUAGUCCUGUUUGUUUACCCAGAUUAUCUGGCGUGUUUCUGUUGGGCGGCGUGCUUCUCCGAUCCGAUAGGCGCAAAAACGAUUCGGUAGAUUAUAAUGGCAAUGGUGGGUAAUUUCUAGGAAACUUGAAAGGGUAGUGGGGAAGUGGGAAAAAAAUAAUCUGAAAUAAGCACCUCCUCACUUGCUUAUGGAUUAUCAUAAUCCAAGGGGUUAGAUUAUAUAAUCUGGGCAAAUAAGCUAGACUGUUUGUUUGCCUCUUAGGAUUAUUUAAUCCAGAUUAUAUAAUCUGGGGGGUAAACAAACAGGCCCUAGAUCUAUUAUGUAACCACCGACCUCCUAGCCUAUAUAAAUAUAUCAUAAGACCUCAAGGCAUCAACCAUAGACUCAUCUUUCUAUAGCUUCACAGCAGCUCCACCGCCAUUCAAGCCAUAGCAACCCGCCAUCAGCUAAGCUUGUCAUGACCAGCUUGUAGAAGUUCGAGUUCCUCCCCAACUCUAGUGACAAAUCUAACGAGGAAUUUCUCUCCGUCCAUUCAUCUUCCGGGGCAACCUAGAACAUCGUUGUGACCAACUCGACAAGAGCUUCGUCACUGCGCUUCCUGUUCGUUGAUCGGAUCUCCGGCUCAUCAUAAAAAAUCGAGAUGACCAGCAGCAACGUGGGAUUGAAGGGCAUGAUUGGAAGGUAAGUUAGUGGUAGGUUAGAGGUCUUUCCAAAAAAAUAGGCUUGACGCUUACCACCUAAUAGAUAACCACCACCAUAGGCUCUUUUACAUGCAAGACUGUCAUGCAACAUGAAUUUAACAGUAGGUAGAAUCAUGAUAAAUUUGCAUCAGAUAGAGCAUGUAUUUAUAAACAAACAUUUCACAUCUUUAACAAACCAAUCUAACCAAUCAGAUCCCGUCAUGUCACCUAUUUCUGUACAGCCCCACUAAAUUAUUAAAAAUACGAUAUCUUCUAGGUCAAAUAAUUUGUUUUAAUUUGUUCAAAUUGUGUUAGGUUCAUAUUAAUUUUGCGUAGGAAGUAAUAAAAUUGUUUAAUCAAUUAAUUGUUUAUUUAAUUAAUUCAUUGAUUAAUUAAUUUAUUAUUGAUUAAUUAAUUAAUUGUUCCAUAUGGUUUCGGUUCAUAUUUUAUUAAUUAAUUGUUUAAUUAAUGUCAAAUAACUAGUUAAUCUAAUUUAUAGUUGUAACCUAUGCUUAGUAUAACUAAUUGUUAAAGUGAUUAAUAUCGACUCAAAUAUUUCAAUUUAAUAUCUACUUAGUCUAAAUGCAACAUUUAUUAGAUUUAUUGCGCCUAAAAAUAUUGCUUUACCCAUAACUUAUUCGUUUUAACUCCGAUUUUAAUGGUUCUCGAACCUACGAUCUCGUAGCGACGCGUAGAAUAUUCUUACGUACUUUGUUCUUAUGCUUUGGUGUAAUGUUACAAUAUCAAUUAUUUGUUUGGUUGUAUGUAUUGCAAUGAGUAGAGGCGAGGUGACGAGGAACCGGGAGCCCAACUUUUGGGUCAUCAUCUCAACAACAUGUUAUCGCAAGUAUAAGGUAAGUUGUACCCUAGAUCACUCUUUUUUACCUAAUAAUGUUCCUGUUAAUCACUAUGACAUGCUCAUAUUAAUUUGAUGGGACCUAAUAGGUUACCCUAGUUUUGUUCACCCUACACCUUACAAACAAAUGAACCAUUGGGUAGUCCUGCUAUUGCUCUACCUGGUUUUGGGAUUAAUGAUACUUAUGAUUCAUGACCAUGUUCCAUUAUAAUUUACUAUUGUUGAUUAUUUAUUAUUGUUCAUGGUAAGAUCAUUGUGUUAAUUGGAAUAUGGAGAACCACUCGGGAAAACAGUGCUACCACAAGGGUGGUAUGGGACGUCCUUGGCUGACUAAUUAGGAAAGCUAGUUGUCACACCCGGUUUUAAGGGACAAAGCCGGGUGCAUCUCAUACAUGCGCCAAAGAAGACAAUAUAUAUAAUAACAGAAUGUAUAGAGAUAAAUGUCACAAUGAAAUCAGAGUAUUUAUUAAAUAGCGAAAGUCUUACAAAAUAAAAGGUAAAUAUAAAACGAACUAAGAAUCGUCCUUGGCGCCAUAAAGUCAACUGGGAAACGCCAACUAGAUCAGAUCAAACUCCUCGUUGUGUGGCUCCUCUUGAACCACAUGUUCUUCUCCUAUGGGGGUGUGAGACAGCAAUGGUGAGCUCACACAUGUUCAUCGCUCAACAAGUUGUGGGGAAUAUUGUGCAUGAACUCACCAAAGGUGGGAGUUCAUGUGAAGUGUAAGGCUGAUCAACAAAAUAAAGGUUGAAGCUGAGCAUUGCUUUUAUAAGUUGGUCAAAAUUUUAUUAGUAGUUACUAAGUGUAAGUAAAUAUCAAACCAUAAUAAAUAAUAGAACAAAAUUAAUAACAAAUCCCAUGCAAUGCAUAUGACCAAUUAAAUUUAAGUUACAUAAAUUAAUCAUGUGAGAGUCCUGAGCUUGUCAUGACCGUGAGCUCGGCUAGUAUACCAGUUUUACACUCUGCAGUGGUUGUACCCUUUUCCCACAAGUCGUGUUUCCCAUGUCGCCAGGGUUUGCAAGGCCCUUAGACACUACCGAGGUGAAUGGCUAGAGAUCCGAUACGAGGCCUUUACAAAGUUCCACUAGCUUCUGAAAACCUGCUACAGUUUAUGGGAAGAGCACUUGCAAAAAUCCCUCGUCUGACCGCCAUCGCAGCAAAAUCAACCCGAGAACCUCCUUGCAUGCAACUCCCCUACUGUCCUUGCCCCUUUCGGGUAAGGUAGUCUUUCACUAGCUUUCCUAAUUAGUUAGCCAAGGGGUUCCAUUCCUCCCUUGUGGUGGCACGUGUUUCUCAAGUUAAGCUCCAUGUUCCAAUUAACAAUAAUGAUCUUGACAUGAACAUAAAUAAAAUAACAAAAUAAUUGGAACAUGGAUAUAAUGAAAUAUUAACCCAAAACCAUAUAAAGCAAUAGCAAAACUACCCAAAUGAUUCAGGGGUAAACAAGGUAAAAAGGAUAAACAGACUAGGGUGACCUAUUGGGUUCCAUCAAAUUUAAACCUAUGCAUGAAUAAGUUAUAUUAAAUAACAUUAUUGGGUAAUAAAAGUGGUCAAGGGCACAACUUGUCUAGCACUUGAGAAUUCCAGGUACCAGGGUGAUUCUUUAGAUCCUCGAAACCUCACUGCUAGUCGUAGCAACACAAACAAACAUGGUAUAGAAAAAAUUAACAUCACACCAAAUAUAAGUACAAACAGAAUAAUAAUCUACGCGUUGCUACGAGAUCGUGGGAUCGAGAACUGCUAAGAUCGGAGUCAUGGUCAAGGAGUUAUGAUUCUAUAGAGGAUCUAUGUGAUUAAAAUAUUAAACUAUAUUAUAAAUUGGUUAGUGUAAAUCAUAUUAGUGGUUAUUCUAUAAAUAAUUAUCUCAACUUUAAUCUAAGUUAUAAAUUUACCAUAAAUUAUAUUUUGGUAGAUAAUGAUGAGCACAUUAUCUACCGUCCGAUCAAAUUCCGACGCGCCUGAUUAGAUCGUGAUUCCCCCGAGCUAGCGCGCAAAAACGACCACAGGAUCGAGGAUCAACGGUCCAGAAUCGCUCCCCUAACUAAAACCGCUCUAGCCUUUGGAUCUCCAACCUACGGCCACGAAUCAAAUCUCGCGAAAGGGUAUGUGUUUUCAAUCCUGGUCGUUUGCUCUAUAACCAACGAUGCUGAUAUCAACCGCACCAACCAGCACCUAGAUUAAAUCCCAAUCUCAAAACCCGAUCAAACGGUUGGGCACUCUUCUCCCCAAUCGGACCCGGACGUGACGGCACAAACCAGCUCGCGGCGGUGGCCAUUGCCGGCGAUCCCAUACCCCUCGACUCCAUCCACCCAAGCUCGAACCGACUAGCGCAUCACAAUGUAUUGAUUAAGGCAGAGUCAGGGGCGGCGAAAGUUACCAGAGGAGUAGGUGAGCGCAGCGCUGUCCACGCGGACGCGGCAGAGGAGAAUCCUGGCGAGCAAUUCCGCGCGGACCCCUUACUCGAUGCUGAAGCCCUAGCACUACCCUUACUCGCCCGUACGACAGUGCAACGUGGAGGUCGACGGAAGCGGCGUGAUGAAGUCCCACGGCGGCGGCGGGCCUCCAAAUUCCCUCUCUCCCACAUUCUCC